This 8505-nucleotide long non-coding RNA is filed under the name Aquilegia coerulea. RNAcentral's name for it is "long non-coding RNA (ACOE_LNC001492)". Lineage: Eukaryota; Viridiplantae; Streptophyta; Magnoliopsida; Ranunculales; Ranunculaceae. The record is from RNAcentral.
UUUAUGCCUAAUCUCUAUGGGAGCAUGGCUCUUUAAUCCAUUUACCUUCACCAUAGGGACUCGUGGGAACUGCGAGCCAAUUGUUUGUGCCAUAGUUCUGUGGAUUAUCAUAUGUAUUAUGAAUGGUGUAAGUUUUGCUCCCUUUGAUAACUUUUAACCUUGAGGGCACUUAUUAGUGAUGAUUAAGUGUUAAUCAUGGACCAUAAGAUUCUUAGUUUUAUGUUGGUGUGAUGACUUUCUUAUGCUGUUCACCUUUUAUAUCCAAUCAUUUAUGCACUUCCUCUUGUUCUAGUUCUAAAUCCACGCAACAUUCAAGCUGGUUCAAAACCUUUUCUCCAAACUUGGGGUGCCACACAACAAAAGUCUAGCCAAGGUUCUAAUUGUAAAGGAGGAAGUUUUCUUUUUGAUUCAUUGCUUCGUUUGAGAGAUUUGCUAACAAGAGAGAGGAUAUUAUUUGGGCUUCUCUCUGCAUCGGUGUUCUUCUUUUGGACCUGGCUUUUCUUUUAUCUUUACCAAUGGGAGUUUCUCAAUGAGGCACUCUUAUACCAUCUUACACGCACUGAUCCGAGGCACAACUUCUCCAUAUAUUUUUAUCACAUCUAUCUUCAUCAUGAACGUGAAUUUUCAAUAUUGGAGAAGCUUGUAUCUUUUUUGCCUCAGUUGACGGUGCAACUUGUUCUUAUUUUCCGCUACGCACAAGACCUCCCAUUCUGCCUCUUUGUCCAGACAGUGGCUUUUGUAGCAUUCAAUAAGGUACUUGAGUUUGUGAUCAAUUUCUUUUCAUUUCUAAAGCAUAACUUCUAUCUAAAUAUAACGUCUUAUAGAUUCUUCUUAGUGAUGCGUUUUCCCCCAUAUUUUGAGAUUGAUUGUUACGCAUACAUGUGGAAUUAUGUUUUAUCAUCAUCUUGGUUGUUGAUUCCAAACCAAGAAUGGUUAACAACUGUGACAUAUUAUAUGUAAGGUAACUGCAGCUUCUUGCUAUAAUAAAUCUGGGAUGAUCUUUAUGCAUCACAAUUUUAUUAACAGAUGAUAGAUAUUAAUCAUUGACAGGUUGUCACAGCGCAAUAUUUUGUAUGGUUCUUCUGCCUGCUUCCCUUAUUGCUGCCAUGGAGUAAUAAGAAUAUCAGAUGGGAAGGUUUAUCGUGCAUUCUCAUAUGGAUGGGUGCGCAACUGCAUUGGCUGAUGUGGGGUUAUAUGUUGGAAUUCAAAGGGAAGAAUGUCUUUGUUCAGUUAUGGGUUGCAGGUUUAUUGUUCUUGGCUGCAAACACAUGGGUUCUCAUCAAGAUAAUGUGUCGGCACAAAUUUUCCCCCAUUUUCAUUGCGUCACAGAAGACAAGUGUCAAAAGUGCUAGAAAACUACAAUGACGGAGCAGUUAGUUUUUGCUCGUGGUGCACUUUUUGUUGUAGUCUUAAGUUACAUAUGUUGGAAUUUAUUUCUUAAGAUGUGGGCAAUUUUACAAUUCCACCCCGAAAUAUUGCACUUUCACAAGAUGAUGUUGAAUGAUGUAAGAUGAAAAUUCCUUCAGAAGCAUUUUGAACAAUCAGGACAUUCUAACAGCAAAAGUGAGUUGUGCCAACCUGCAUUAAACAUUUUUUACUGCCAAUCCAUUAGCAUUGAAUAUGAUAUCAAAUGAACAUUUCCUUGUAAUUGGUUAUAUCUUGGUAAAUCCAGUUUCACAGGGUACUGAAGAUAGUAGGGAACACAGAAGUAUAUUACUUAAAAAAAUGGCAUGAAAAGUAACAAAACCAAGAUGGCAAGAUCCAGAUAUUAUGAUUCAGUUAGAAGUCUAGAGUCAAUAAAAGUCUAGAUCUUAUCAAUCUAAUAAGAAGAGUUUGAGUAGGAUUCAUGUUAUCAACCAUGGCAUAUAAAAUCGAGAACACAAACAUCAGUUUCUUCUUCUUCUUCUUUUAUCUUGAGUUGUUAUUGACAGAGAGAGAGAGAAAGAGAUCAGAGAUAAUGGUGUUGGCAAGAAGACCAGCACAAGUGUUGAUUUAUUUUGUGUUGGUCUGUUUGUUUCAUCAGAGUAGUGCGCGUGCACUUUAUGGAGGGUCUUCUGAGAAAAGCGAACCUCCUGCAUCUGCAUCUGCAUCUGUGGAACUCAAUUCUACUAAUUUUGAUGAAUUAGUUUUGAAAAGUAACAAUAUUUGGAUGGUAGACUUCUUUGCACCCUGGUGUAAAUUUUCUAACGAGCUGGCACCUAAUUGGGAGAAAGCUGCAAAUAUGUUGAAGGGGAAGGUGAAGUUAGGUCAUGUUGAUUGUCAAGCUGAACAGUCUCUGGCGAGAAGGUUCCAUGUGCAUGGAUUCCCAAGUAUUAGAGUAUUUAGUGUCGAUAAAGAUAUCCCAUUUUCCUAUGAGGAAUCUAGAGCUGCCUCUUCAAACCACAAAGAAAGAAGAUCUGCCUCUGGGAUCGAAUCAUUUGCACUAGACCAUUUGAAGAAUCCACUCACUCAUGGAAGAUGUAACACCCAUGAGUUGGUGUUAGUCCCACAUUGCCAAGAAAGUGGUUGUAUUGGUAGUAUAUAGAGCUUAACCAUACUCUAACUAAUGUUAAGGCCUUUUGGGGUGAACCACAUGGGUGGGCCCUGAUCCAAAACCCAAUACAGUUGGAUAUCCGCAGUGACUAAAGAGGGACAAUAUUGACAUUAGCGAGCGGUAUGGUGCUCGACGCACUGGGAUGAGCGAGGACGAAAUCCCGGGGCAUUACAGUUGGUAUCAAAGCCGACGACGGGUCGCCUGUUGCAGGUGGGAAAGUACGCUGGAAGGGCCUAGGGAGCGCCAGGUACUUGUCUCACUUGGCAGGGAACGUCAAAGAUUUUGGGACUGUACUGAGUGUACUGCAGAGCCGAGGACGGCUCUAUUUCUAAGGUGGUGAGAUUGUAACACCCAUGAGUUGGUGUUAGUCCCAUAGUACCAAGGAAGUGGUUGUGUUGGUAGUAUAUAGAGCUUAACCAUACUCUAACUAAUGUCAAGGCCUUUUGGGGUAAGCCACAUGGGUGGGCCCUGAUCCAAAACCCUCUACUGCUGGAUAUCCGCAGUGACUAAAGGGGGACAAUAUUGACAUUAGCGAGCAGUAUGGUGCACGACGCACCGGGAUGAGCGAGGACGAAAUCCUGGGGCGUUACAGAAUAAGCAUGCGUUAUUACUAAGUCUUGAUCAGGUCAACCUGUUAGAGUGGCCUCUUUUACCAAAAGAUGCUUUUAUAAAUCCCGGCCAAGAAGAUGAUGUUUUAGCUGGAGUAAGGGAGGAUGUUUGAACUAGUCCAGUAAGGGAAGAUGUUAAAGUUUAUCCAAAAGUUAUUUGUUUUCAUUAGAAGUCGAGAGUCAAUUAAGCUUUUAGUUCUUAUCAAUCUUUGUAGUAGGAAAUUUUUUAUUACGAAUCAUUCAUGUUAUCUGCCGUGGCCUAUAUAAAGGCGCGCGAUGGCAGUAAUUUGUUUUUCGAUACAUUCAAGUUAAUAUUACAAAUUUACAAUAAAGCAAAUUUCUCUUUAUCCAUAUAUUUCUUUCUUCGUGCUUUCUUCUAGUUUUAGGUGAUUAACUCCUUCACUUCUAAGUUGCAACUCUGGAACCUGACCAGGGCUGGUUGGCUAGGAAAGCAGGUUGUUUGUGUGCACCAACACUGAGAUCAACAGGGAGCAAUUCAUACUCAACACCCUUCUCUAUGACUAUCAAACAUGUGUGCAUUUAGACAAAAUGGGAAUCCAUAAACCUUAACAACAUGUGUUUAAGAUGUUGCUAGACAAGUUUUUUAUAUAUUAGUUAAACUAAGAUCAAAACAUAUGUUUGCAAAGAGAAUGUGGAAGCAAGUAUCGCUUCUUGUUCCAUUACCUCAACAGUGAUGAUAGCUUAGCUUAUACAGCACCCUUGCUGUUCAAGAAAGAAGAUAUCAUGCCUACUUAUUCACCGUACUGAUCAUCUUAUCCUUGUUCUUGUGAGCCACAAAUUAAAUCACUAACAAAUGUUUUAACACGUAUAUUUCUGGCGAAACAUACUCAUUUCAAGGUAGUAAAUAUUAAAUCAAAAUGCUCGUUUGACGCCAUGAAUUAGAUUGUCUUGCCAUUACAUAAAUGAUUGUUGUUCCUUACAUUAUGUGGUCAAAAGACAAGCCAUGUAUCCUCUUUUAAAUUCCCUUACAGGUGCAACAUCUAUAGCAUAUAGGUGUUCGAACCAGGAUUAAGAGCUUCAUAAUUCCCCUGUUCUUUGCUAACUCGAUCUAUACCUUGUUUGAUAGUUUAUAACACUAUACAAUUGGUCAGUUGCUAUGGCUCCCGGCCUCAUGAUCCUAAGAGUCAGCAGUUCAGAGUUAGGAAGGGAGAAAGUCUUGGGUAGUGUCUGUCAAUCUAAACAAAAAGCUCUGUGUACACAAUACCAAUAACAAUAACAGUAAUUCAUCUCUAGAAUAUACACGAACCAUGCGUGCAUUAAGGAAGUAUUAUUACAAAUACAUUAACAUGAACAUAUAGGAAAAAUUCCGAAAAAUACAUAUAUAAAAGCAAGAGCGAUAUUUGCUUCAUUAGCUCAUAUUUCUUGUCGAUCCAAACUUAGACAUUUGCAUUUGCCCGAACUUUCUGGAAAUAAGGCCUGGAUGAAAUAUCCUCCCACCAAGCCUUAACAUGAGGCCUAGAAUUGAUUAAAGAGGCCAAUGGAGUCUUCAUCAAGAAAAAUGUAUAUGGAAUAUGGUUCUGAUCGGCCAAACUAUAGAAAUUCCCAGCUAAGUAUUUGUUUUCAGUGAGCCUAGCUUCAUACACAUCCAAAACGUUUCCGAGCUUUUCAGAUUGAGCAUCAACAACGGCCUGAUCGGUUGUCAUUCCAUACAUGCCUUUAAUAACAAGUUCAUAGACUAUUGUAGAGAUUGGUGGGUUGUAUUGUUGUGAUUCUACUUCUGCCCAUACACCAACCAAUGCAGUCUCAUUAAUGUUGCCUAGACGGAAAAGAUCAGUACCUUGGUCCUUGUACUUGUAGCUCACAUAUGAACCAAUUGCGCGAGAUUCUGGUCAUUCCAUGAAGAACAAAUGGUUAAUACAAGAAACAUCCAACAACAGUUUCAUAUAUGUUAAGCUCAGAUUCAUGUGAAACAACUUACCAAAAAGUGUGACAUCUCCAUCCUCCAAAACUGGAACCUGACCGAAGGGCUGUUUGGCGAAGAAUGCAGGUUGUUUGUGUGCACCGACGCUGAGAUCAAUAGGGAUCAAUUCAUAAUCCACACCCUUCUCAAUCAAACAUGUCAAGACUCGUGCCGUGCAUGUAGACAAAGGUAAUCCAUAAACCUUAACAGCAGCCAUAACUAAAGAUAUAUGUUAACUGGAAAGAUAGAUAUAUAUGCAAUGAAAGACAAAUGAUCAAGCAAGAAAGAGAAGUAGCUAGAUAGAUUGUUGAGAGAAAGAGAUUGAGAUGAGGAAUUUAGAGUAGUGAUGAAUGGUGUUUAUUUAUAGAGAAGUUGAACUAUAUAUAUAGACAUGUAGUUAUGAAUGUAGGAUAGAUCAUUAGAUUGUAUAAACCGUGUUGAAUGAAUAGUAUCCUUCUAGAAAUGUAGCUAAAUAAAAUCAUGACAUGAGCCAAUGUGAGCACAACAUAGUCUUCGUAGGGUGACAUAGCUGUAACAAGGUCACUUUUGAGUCAAUGUAAGAACCUUCAAGUAAGAUAUCAUGCGGCCUACUUUCAAUAUUCGUUGAUUGUUUGUUUGCAUUUGCAAGAACUUUCUGGAAAGAAGGUCUUGAUGAAAUAUCCUCCCACCAAGCCUUGACAUGAGGCCUAGAAUUGAUCAAAGAAGCAGCUGAUGUCUUCAUUAAGAAAUAGGUGUAUGGAAUAUGGUUCUGAUCAGCCAAGUUGUAGGAAUUCCCAGCUAAGUAUUUGUUCUCCGUGAGUCUAGCUUCAUACACGUCCAAAAUUUUUCCAAGCUUUUCGGACUGAGCGUCAACAUCAGCCUGAUCGGUUGUCAUCCCAUACAUACCUUUGAUAAGCAAUUCGUAAACUAAGGUAGAGAUAGGUGGGUUGUACUGCUGUGAUUCAACUUCUGUCCAUACAAGCACCAAUGCGGAUUCCUCGACAUUCUCAUGUCUGAGGAGAUCAGUACCUUGGUCCUUGUACUUGUAGGCCACAUAUUUGGCUAUUGCUCGAGAUUCUGCACAUUAAAUGAAUAUCACAUUGUUACUAUAGUGCAUAUAAUCGGCAUUUUUUUAUCUGACAACCUCUAUAAAGGGACUAAUGCAUUGACAUUCGACAAUAUAUGUAUGGAUUUUUCGACAAAUCAGAACAACUUACCGAAAAGUGUGAGAUCGCCAUCUUCCAACACUGGAAUUUGACCAAAUGGCUGCUUGGCGAGGAAAGUAGGUUGUUUGUGUUCACCCACAGCUAGAUUACGAGGAAUCAAUUCAUAUUCAACACCCUUCUCAAUCAAACAUGUUAGUACUCGUGCAGUACAUGAGGACAAAGGCAUUCCAUAAACCUUAACAGUAGCCAUGGCUAGAGAAAUAAUGUUCUUUGAAAAGAUAGAAAGAAAUAGAAGAACAAAUGUAGGUUUGAGAAGAAGAAAGAGAUAUAGAUAGAGCAGAAAGAGUUGUGGAGAUUUAGAGCAGAGAACCAAGCUUAAUAUAUAGCUAGACUGCUUAGAGGAGUAGUUGUUUAUGUAUUCAACCAUGACAUGCUAUUGAUAAUUGAUGGCAUGAGUGGUCAAACAACGUACCAUGAUUAAUAAUUGCAAUAUUCCAACCAUACUGUAUUUGUUUUCUUCUAGAAAAAAAUUAUAGAAAAAAUAAUAGAUUUUUUUUUAUACAAAUGUGUUUUCAUAUUAUUAACUUUGGAUUAUUUUUAAUUCUUUUUUUUUCAGAAAAUGAUUUGUGUCUGUGAAUGAACUGAAAUAAUUAAUUUUUCUUACUUGGGAUAUUUUGUGAAAUAUUUGCAUUUUUUUUUUUUUUUUGCAAAAAUGCAAAAUAUUCUACCAUAAGAUCAGCUAGCCCAAGAACUUGUUUGGCUGUUGGCUAUGUACACCCACAUGAUUAGGCCCAAAACCGAUAAUUGUGCCGCGAAGUCUUCUCUUAUUUUUCACUCUAUCUCCAUCACUAUCAUCUCUUGCUUGUUCUUCUGAGGAAAUUCUAAAGACAAGCUUUUUUACUGUUUGGGUUGUGUUUGAUUUUUUCACAGUAAUGGAUCUCUAGUGUUUUCUUCUCUACUUUUUCUUCAUUUUUAUUGCAUUCUAAAUCUAAAACUAGCUACUUCUAUGAUGAUCUAUUGAUAUAUAUCUAUGACUUUUUUGCUAUUUAGUAAGUGGGCUUUUAAUCAUUAAUAACAACCCAUUGAAAGUAUUGAGAUUUCCAUUAAAGGGUAUCUUUAAAAUCUAAAAAUGAUUGAGGAUUUUGAGAUCCAAUUGUGACUUGAAAUGCACAAUGUUUUACAUUUCUAAAUAAAUUCUACUGAGGUGAUUAGAAAUUCUGAUGGAAAUCGAUCUUAAAUCUGUUUUUGCAGUAAUGAGGUGUGAUUUCAAUUCACUUGUUAUAUUCUCAGUUGUCCUUCGCAUUGUUCUUAUUAUUUAUGGAGAAUGGCAAGAUACCCAUAUGGAAGUUAGAUACACUGAUGUUGAUUACCUUGUUUUCUCAGGUGCUUCUUCUUUGAUGGCAUCUGGAUUGUCGCCUUAUAAGAGAUCUACAUAUCGUUAUUCGCCUUUACUUGCAUUCCUACUCUUGCCGAAUUCAUUUAUUCAUCGUUGAUGGGGGAAACUUUUGUUUUCUGCUUCAGGUAUUGAAAUCCUUCCUUUAUCUUCCAUAUGAAGUUAACCCAUUACCUACUUUGGGAGGUUUAUACGUUCUUGAUUUUUAUUUGAGUUGGCUUUACCGGUUGAACUUUAUAAUGAGAAUUAGCAUCAACAGAUGACAUAGAUUGAUGAAUGUGCUUAUGUUGCAGAUAUUCUUGUGGGAUUAUUUAUUCGCAAUAUUUUGAAGCUACGCGGUGUUCCGGAGAAUUUAUGCCUAAUCUCUAUGGGAGCAUGGCUCUUUAAUCCAUUUACCUUCACCAUAGGGACUCGUGGGAACUGCGAGCCAAUUGUUUGUGCCAUAGUUCUGUGGAUUAUCAUAUGUAUUAUGAAUGGUGUAAGUUUUGCUCCCUUUGAUAACUUUUAACCUUGAGGGCACUUAUUAGUGAUGAUUAAGUGUUAAUCAUGGACCAUAAGAUUCUUAGUUUUAUGUAGUUGUGAUGACUUUCUUAUGCUGUUCACCUUUUAUACUGAUGUGCAAAACGGUUAACGAUACCAAAAUUUUAUGCCAAAAACAAGGCAUCACCAUAACAGCAUAAAGCCUACAAUGACGUCCAAUAUUGAUUCUGCUGUGCAAAAACUGGGUUUCCCACCAUUAAGCAUUUUUAUUCUUUCGACAAUCCUUUCUUUUCAUAAUAACCUGUUCUCCAAUGUUUAUAGUGUAGCAUCUAAAUGAUACGAUAAGAAAAAAGGUAUAGUUGAAGCUAGAUGAGGCAUCUGACCCGACACUGGCCACCCAACACAACGAACACCUCUUCAAAAUG